Panicum virgatum (switchgrass) is the source of this 2781-nucleotide long non-coding RNA. RefSeq lists it as uncharacterized. Lineage: Eukaryota; Viridiplantae; Streptophyta; Magnoliopsida; Poales; Poaceae. The transcript is spliced from 10 exons. The record is from RefSeq and is a predicted model, not a curated record.
GAUCCGUUGCAAUUGACAAUAACUAUAGUUAGGUCCACAAUGGCAAAAGCCUCUGGCAGAGAUAAUAUGGUUCCUACUGGGUCCCACUUAGUCUAAAAAAAUCAGCCACCAGAAACAUCCGUGAACUCUCAUUCGCGCAAGAAAAAUCCCCAUCCGCGCUGUUCCUCCGCCCGAUCCCCAAUUCCACCGGCGGCGCUCGUUUGGUUUCCAGGGUGGCCAUGCUAGAUCCCGCAAAUCCAAUCCAUCCCCAACCUCCACCACCCGGCCUAUGACUCAUGGAGAUCCUUCUGGUCAUGGAUUGCCCGUCGCCCGGGGGUACGCCCCUCUAGCACUGGCGCCCUAUCUCCUCUGUGAUUGGAUUCAUGGCGAGCCACGGCAACGACGAAUCGAGGUGGCGGACUGGUGCCACAUCCCUGAACAGGCGCGCACCAUGGCCAACCUUGCUCCUACGGCAGAUCCUUGUGGUGGAAGAGGAUCCUGGGGUCUGCAUCUAUGACGAUGGUACAUGCGAACAAUAGGUAUGGCCGGAGUUACUCCUGCGAUGCUGGACCCAACAAUAGACUCGGGUCACCGGUCCUUCCUUGCGAAGGUUCAGCACCAAGAACUAAACGUGCUGCGUUCACGUCCACCUGCAGAGUUGGUUCCUGUAGACCCACGAUGGGUGCCCAGGCUGAGCGAGGCAGGUCUUCUCACUGUGGCUCGUCUUGCUGAGAGUGCUUUGGUGAAGCUAGACAGGUCUCUACUUUCAGCUCUCGUUGACAGAUGGAGACCUGAGACACACACGUUCCACCUCCCUUGUGGGGAGAUGGCACCGACCCUGCAGGACGUUGCGAUGCUGCUUGGUCUUUCUAUCACCGGAGACGUUGUCGGGCCUCGCGUGGUACCUUCUACGUGGCUGGAGGAUCUUGAGGAACGUUUUGCAAGUGUUGCCACCACGAUUGAUCCUGAAGGUUUCAAUGAGCACCCACAGUCGAAAGGCCCUUCCAAGUCAUGGCUCCUACAGUUUCAGCCGGAUCUGUUGGCAGCCGAUGCUGAUGAGUACAGCGUGACUAGAUCACUCGAGGCAUACCUGCUGUGGUUGUUUGGGUACAUCAUGUUCAACAACUCACACGGCCACUGUGUGGAUAGGGUGCUUCUGCCCUACGCACAGGAGAUCGCCGAUGCAGAUGAGGAUGCCAUACCCUUAUAUAGUUGGGGUACAGCGGUUCUUGUAUGCACAUAUCGUGGACUCUGCAAGGCAUCAUGGUAGAAUGAUAGGAAUGCUGUCCUAACGGGGUGCCCAAUUCUGCUACAGCUUUGGUCUUACGAGAGGAUUGCUAUCGGUCGUCCUAUGAUUGACCAGUCACCGUACAAGCUGGAUAUGUCCGGUGACACGGAGGACGACAGACCCACCAUGGGGACUCUCUAGUACUCUCGACCGAAAACAUGGGCACAUGUACAGACCCGGCGGUCUUAUCCUGAGUUUGUUGCCGAAUUUGAUCGAUUGACCCCAGAAGACAUUGUGUGGGAGCCAUACAGUCCUUCGGCUAUAGCCGCACGUGCACCGCUUGGGAUAUCUUCGGUGUGCACACAGGACCAGGGCCUAUGGAUGACUACUGCAGCUUUGGUGUACGACAUUGCAGUUGAGGCCCACUGCCCGGAUAGAGUCAUGAGGCAGUUCGGUCGACGCCAGUCUUUCAUUGUGUCUUCAGCGUUGGAUCGUGUUCAGCGCCAUGAUCAUAGUUUAUAAAGGGCUGUACAUCCUUUCUCGACAAUGUGGGUCACUAGAUUACAACCAUGGGUGGCUGCGUGGGAUGAUGCAGGCGAGCAGUUGGCUGAGGAUACCGGUCCACACACUGAGCCUUCGUUUCGGGCAUACCUGACCUGGUACGAACCGAAGACUCGUUGCCGUUUGACUUAUAUUGACAUGCAUCCACAGCCGCAUGUUGUGACUUCGCAGGAUCGCUAUGGACGAUACAGGGAUGAGGCAUUAGCUGGGUGUUCGAGGCCUGUAGGUUGCUCGAAUUAGAUUGCUCACUGAAUGUAAUGAGGAUUCAUGGCGGGUCUACGAUGAGCAUGCCGGCACAACUCGAGGCCUGGACCACUCAACAUGAUAGAGCCCGAGGCAUCCUUCAGGCCUUUGGUACGCGGACGGAGUACGAGGAUUCCUACGGAUCGUCGCAAGCGUCGACGUCGGUUCCUUGUGGUCCCGUAUGGCAGCAGCCUCCCUUAUACCACCGACAGUACGAAGGGUACGGGUACCCCGGUUCUCAGCCCUAUGGAGGGCCAGGUGCCUCGCAAGGGCUCCAUUUCAAGAAACCCAAUUUACCUCUAUGCCACCAGCUGAAGGGACUUUAGGAUCACAACAGUUCACCGGAGCGGGGUCAUCUUCGUAACCCCUUAUGCCGCCACCAGGAGGAUAUGAAGGAGUUUCUUCCUAUCCACCACCACCUCCACCUGUAACACAGGGGUGGUCUGAAGACAACGACGCGGCCUCCUUCGACGACUUUACACGGUUGUUUGCUACGCUUGCCCAGGACGAUGAUCCCAGGUUGUAUACACCUGUGGCUUUGUUACGCCGUCCUGCCAGAGACGUUGGGCUACCGGAGCGUCAUAGUUACCCUACAAAUCACGUACACGCACAACGUAAGAGAGGUCGGAAUGGUAGGGGUGGUUAGUUGUUGGCACUUGUUUCUCUAUUGUUAUUAUGGACUGUUUCGACUGUUCGGAUUAUGGUUGUUUAUGAUUGUGGUAGUUUACUUGUCAUUUGUUUCUAUAGAUAUUAUUGAUGUGAACUUGUUA